Long non-coding RNA from Nanorana parkeri, 123 nucleotides. RefSeq lists it as uncharacterized. The record is from RefSeq and is a predicted model, not a curated record. NCBI's taxonomy places the organism in Eukaryota, Metazoa, Chordata, Amphibia, Anura, Dicroglossidae. The transcript is spliced from 2 exons.
GCAACCUCCCACCGUCUCUGCCACUCCAUUCUAGGAUCACCUGGGGGACCACACAGAUCCUGGUGCAAGAAAACUGCAGGUUGGGAUCAUGAGAAAUCAAGGAGAGAGCAGCGAGAAGACACC